RNAcentral lists this non-coding RNA (137 nucleotides) under Gorilla gorilla gorilla (western lowland gorilla). Lineage: Eukaryota; Metazoa; Chordata; Mammalia; Primates; Hominidae. The record is from Rfam by way of RNAcentral.
GCCAGGCGUGGUGGCGUGUGCCUGUAAUCCCAGCUACUUGGGAGGCUGAGGCAGGAGAAUUGCUUGAACCCGGGAGGCGGAGGCUGCAGUGUGCCACUGCACUCCAGCCUGGGCAACAGAGUGAGACUCUGUCUCAA